GCGGAGGAAAAGAAACCAACAGGGAUUGCCCUAGUAACGGCGAGUGAAGCGGCAACAGCUCAAAUUUGAAAUCUGGCGUCUUCGGCGUCCGAGUUGUAAUUUGCAGAGGGCGCUUUGGCAUCGGCAGCGGUCCAAGUUCCUUGGAACAGGACGUCACAGAGGGUGAGAAUCCCGUACGUGGUCGCUAGCCUUUACCGUGUAAAGCCCCUUCGACGAGUCGAGUUGUUUGGGAAUGCAGCUCUAAAUGGGAGGUAAAUUUCUUCUAAAGCUAAAUACUGGCCAGAGACCGAUAGCGCACAAGUAGAGUGAUCGAAAGAUGAAAAGCACUUUGGAAAGAGAGUUAAAAAGCACGUGAAAUUGUUGAAAGGGAAGCGCUUGCAGCCAGACUUGCCUGUAGUUGCUCAUCCGGGUUUCUACCCGGUGCACUCUUCUAUAGGCAGGCCAGCAUCAGUUUGGGCGGUUGGAUAAAGGUCUCUGUCAUGUACCUCUCUUCGGGGAGAACUUAUAGGGGAGACGACAUGCAACCAGCCCGGACUGAGGUCCGCGCAUCUGCUAGGAUGCUGGCGUAAUGGCUGUAAGCGGCCCGUCUUGAAACACGGACCAAGGAGUCUAACAUCUAUGCGAGUGUUUGGGUGUCAAGCCCGAGCGCGUAAUGAAAGUGAACGGAGGUGGGAACCUUUCGGGGUGCACCAUCGACCGAUCCUGAUGUCUUCGGAUGGAUUUGAGUAAGAGCAUAGCUGUUGGGACCCGAAAGAUGGUGAACUAUGCUUGAAUAGGGUGAAGCCAGAGGAAACUCUGGUGGAGGCUCGCAGCGGUUCUGACGUGCAAAUCGAUCGUCAAAUUUGGGCAUAGGGGCGAAAGACUAAUCGAACUAUCUAGUAGCUGGUUCUG
RNAcentral lists this small RNA (891 nucleotides) under Nothophoma macrospora. RNAcentral describes it as "eukaryotic LSU rRNA". It matches the Rfam family "Eukaryotic large subunit ribosomal RNA", at positions 50 to 959 of the family's 3401-position model. The record is from RNAcentral. Lineage: Eukaryota; Fungi; Ascomycota; Dothideomycetes; Pleosporales; Didymellaceae.